CAGCCCAGGAGCAGCUCGUGGGCAAAGAUUUGGUGGCCAGAGCUCAGCUUCAGGCCACCUCCCGGGCCUCCCAAGGCAAACUCCCCAGAGUAAGAGCAAAGGAAGAGCCUCCAUCCUGUCCUCCCAGGGGCCCUGGGAGGCAGGAGGAGUCGGCUAACUGGGAGGGGCAUGUGCAAGGCCGCCUUGGGAGGAAGGAGUGUUUUCUGGUGCAUAUGCAUUGAUCAAAGAUGACUGCUGUGUUCUCGAUUUUAUUUUAAAGGUAAGUUUGGCUGUUGCUGCACAUCCUGCCACAUCCACCCCGCCUUGCAGCUCUGAGCUGAGAGCAUCUUCAAGCCCAGCCUCGAGGCCUGGGGCUCUCCUCCAGCCCCAGAGUCCAGUUCCCCGGGGCAGGUCCUAGGGUGCCAGGGACUCAGUGCUCUCUAGGAGCUGAGCUCAGACAGUGGAACGGGAGCCUGAUGUCCCUGCUUCUUACCCCACAAGUGGGACUCCAGGGAGGCAUCUGCUACCAGUCUCCCAGAGGUUCCCAGGUGGACUGAGUCCACCUCCCACCAAGGUGACCUGCUCGGGAGUGCAACCCACACUGGUUUCCUUCCUUCGUUAGCUCCUUUCUCCUUCCCUCCCCGUCUCCUGAAAUCACACCCUAAAUAAAUUGCAUGAAAAUUCUCCCCUCAGGUUUGCUUCCAGGGGUUCUUAUACCAACGACACGCUGGAUGUUCAGGGACAGAGGACACGCAGUGAGGCCUGGGCUCCAGUUCUGGCUUCACCUUCUGCCAGCCAGGUGACAAGCGAAUGGCCUCAAUUUCUUCACCGUUAAAUGAGGACGUUAAUAAGAGCCCAACCACAAUAGCAUAUUGUAAGGACGGAACGAGACGAUUCAUAUAAAGCAGUGUUCACAGUACCUGGUGCUUGGCAAACACUCAGAAUUAUUACUAGCUGUCACCGGGCAUGGUGAUGUCCGCCCUCCCACCCCAUAACCCCAGCUACUCAGGAGGCUGAGGCACGAAGGAACAUAAGUUCAAGGUUAGCCCCGGUAAUUUAGCAAAAUAAAAAGGGCUGGGAAUAUAGCUUAGUGGUAGAGCACCUCUGGGUUCAAUCUCCAGUAUGACAAAAAAGAAAGAAAAAAGAAAACCAGGAUAAUGCAACCAUGUAAAAAUUGUUCAAUUGCAACAUUUUUAUUUUUAAAAAUAAAUUAAUUUUUUUGUACAGGGGAUUGAACCAUUGAACCCAGGGGCAUUUUACCACUGCCCUUUUUACCACUGCCCAUUUUUUUUGCCCUUUUUAUUUUUUUUUAUUUUGAGAUAGGGUCUCCCUCAGUUGCCUAGGCUGGCUUCAAACUUAGAAUCCUCCUGCCUCAGCCCCGCCGGAGUCACUAGAAUUAAAGGCAAGC
Molecule: long non-coding RNA, 1387 nt
Filed under: Marmota monax (woodchuck)
Lineage: Eukaryota; Metazoa; Chordata; Mammalia; Rodentia; Sciuridae
Source: RNAcentral